This 260-nucleotide unclassified non-coding RNA is filed under the name fungal sp. Its description in RNAcentral is "partial internal transcribed spacer region". The stretch from base 1 to 46 matches the Rfam family "Eukaryotic small subunit ribosomal RNA", at positions 1786 to 1831 of the family's 1831-position model. Lineage: Eukaryota; Fungi. The record is from RNAcentral.
AAGUCGUAACAAGGUUUCCGUAGGUGAACCUGCGGAAGGAUCAUUAAAAAAAAUUGUAAUUUUUUUUACAUUCUACCCACUUUGUGAUAAAAUUGGCUAUAUAACUUGGGAUUAAAAAUGGUUUAAUAAAGUCAAAUUUGUUAAAACGGCCCCAAAACUAUUCAAAAACUCGCUUUAAUCUUUGACUGAAAUAUAUAAUUUUUAUAUAAUUAUCUAAUGAUAAUCAUACAAAACUUUCAACAACGGAUCUCUUGGUUCUC